This is a non-coding RNA of Podospora anserina S mat+, 120 nucleotides long. NCBI's taxonomy places the organism in Eukaryota, Fungi, Ascomycota, Sordariomycetes, Sordariales, Podosporaceae. The record is from the annotation of a RefSeq genome assembly.
GUCGGUGUGGUGUAGUGGUUAGCAUCCCAUGAUGUAGGGCCGUUUGAAUUAGUUGCUUGCAGCUGUGUUAUAUUCCUAUCCUGCUUCAUGGGGGCCCGGGUUCGACUCCUGGCACGGGCA